Molecule: ribosomal RNA, 169 nt
Filed under: uncultured bacterium
Lineage: Bacteria
Description: partial 16S rRNA
Rfam family: Bacterial small subunit ribosomal RNA
Source: RNAcentral
CCUACGGGAGGCAGCAGUGGGGAAUUUUGCGCAAUGGGGGAAACCCUGANGCAGCNACGCCGCGUGNNGGAUGAAAUCCCUUGGGAUGUAAACUCCUUUCGAUCGGGACGAUUAUGACGGUACCGGAAGAAGAAGCCCCGGCUAACUUCGUGCCAGCAGCCGCGGUAAU